GGCGGACGGGUGAGUAACGCGUGGGAAUCUACCCAGUAGUGGGGGACAACUACCGGAAACGGUAGCUAAUACCGCAUACGCCCUAUGGGGGAAAGGCUUCGGCCGCUAUUGGAUGAGCCCGCGUCAGAUUAGCUAGCUGGUAGGGUAAAGGCCUACCAAGGCAACGAUCUGUAGCUGGUCUGAGAGGACGAACAGCCACACUGGGACUGAGACACGGCCCAGACUCCUACGGGAGGCAGCAGUGGGGAAUAUUGGACAAUGGGCGAAAGCCUGAUCCAGCAAUGCCGCGUGUGUGAUGAAGGCCUGCGGGUUGUAAAGCACUUUCAGUUGGGAAGAUGAUGACGUUACCAACAGAAGAAGCACCGGCUAAAUCCGUACCAGCAGCCGCGGUAAUACGGAUGGUGCGAGCGUUAAUCGGAAUUACUGGGCGUAAAGCGCGC
This 440-nucleotide ribosomal RNA is filed under the name uncultured Gammaproteobacteria bacterium. RNAcentral describes it as "bacterial SSU rRNA". It matches the Rfam family "Bacterial small subunit ribosomal RNA", at positions 97 to 570 of the family's 1533-position model. The record is from RNAcentral. Lineage: Bacteria; Pseudomonadati; Pseudomonadota; Gammaproteobacteria.